GAGCCGGAAAAAAUAAAGAAAAAGAAAACCCUAGCUCCCUUUCAAUUAUAAAGGGGUAGUUGUUAAAGCAUAAGGAUAAGCCUUCUUCUUCUCAAUGCCGUUCACAGUAGCAGUUGCAGAUUCCACACUGCCUUUUUAUCUCCUUCCAUCUUUUUUUUCAUCUUGAAUCUUUAAGAACUCGUUUUAUAUUAAAGACCACUAUGAGUGGUUAACUUGCUUUCUUUUCCUAGUUGAGAUUUGGUGAACUCCAGUGAUGCAUUUGUGAGAUCGAAUUAAUUUAAUUCAUGUUUUAU
RNAcentral lists this long non-coding RNA (293 nucleotides) under Carica papaya (papaya). Its description in RNAcentral is "long non-coding RNA (CPAP_LNC011859)". The record is from RNAcentral. Lineage: Eukaryota; Viridiplantae; Streptophyta; Magnoliopsida; Brassicales; Caricaceae.